CUACUUCCUUCCUGUUUUCGCUGUGCAUGCUGGGUGUUUGCUCUGGUGUGAGUGGCUGUGUUGGACUCUGAGUGCGAUGUGACGUUGUAUAAAUACUCCACCAUUGCACUAGCUGGGACUUUGGGCCUCGUGGUGCUGGUUGCUUUGUAGUUAAAAAUCAAAGAUCUCAUUUUCUCCCCAGUCCCACAGGACCAGCAGACUCAAGAGAAUGACACACAAUAUGCAGCUUUAGAUUUUAAAACAAAGCAAAGGAAUAAAAA
Molecule: long non-coding RNA, 260 nt
Organism: Polypterus senegalus (gray bichir)
Lineage: Eukaryota; Metazoa; Chordata; Cladistia; Polypteriformes; Polypteridae
Exons: 4
Source: RefSeq, a predicted model, not a curated record